UUUCCGUAGGUGAACCUGCGGAAGGAUCAUUACAAAUCCAUCACGUCUCUCUCACUCACCCGAGACAACGUCUAACUGUUCCGAGCGUGAUGGCAUUGUCGUCGUCGCCGAUGGCGCCUCUCUCUGAGCGAGCGCCAACGUGCACACACACACGACCUUGCCUGAUCGCCGUACCUUUACACCCCCCCCUUUCUAAGCUGACGACCGUUGCUUCAUAUGUAUGCUUCAUGCGCAUCAACAACGCAAGAAACAACUUAUAACAAUGGAUCUCUAGGCUCUUGCAUCGAUGAAGAACGCAGC
This 300-nucleotide unclassified non-coding RNA is filed under the name uncultured fungus. RNAcentral's name for it is "sequence contains ITS1, 5.8S rRNA gene". The stretch from base 252 to 300 matches the Rfam family "5.8S ribosomal RNA", at positions 1 to 49 of the family's 154-position model. Lineage: Eukaryota; Fungi. The record is from RNAcentral.